UACGUAGGGCGCAAGCGUUGUCCGGAAUUAUUGGGCGUAAAGAGCUCGUAGGCGGCCUGUUACGUCUGCUGUGAAAUCCCGGGGCUUAACCCCGGGCGUGCAGUGGAUACGGGCAGGCUGGAGGCAGGCAGGGGAGAACGGAAUUCCCGGUGUAGCGGUGAAAUGCGUAGAGAUCCGGAGGAACACCAAAGGCGAAGGCAGUGUCCUGGGGAGUACCUGACGCUCAGGUGCGAAAGCCAGGGGAGCGAACGGG
Molecule: ribosomal RNA, 253 nt
Filed under: uncultured bacterium
Lineage: Bacteria
Description: partial 16S ribosomal RNA
Rfam family: Bacterial small subunit ribosomal RNA
Source: RNAcentral